Molecule: unclassified non-coding RNA, 204 nt
Filed under: Hevea brasiliensis (rubber tree)
Lineage: Eukaryota; Viridiplantae; Streptophyta; Magnoliopsida; Malpighiales; Euphorbiaceae
Source: RNAcentral
AGAAGAAUUUCAAGAUCCCAUUGCUUACAUUUUCAAGAUCGAAAAGGAAGCUUCUAAGUAUGGAAUUUGCAAAAUUGUACCUCCAGUACCUGCACCACCGAAGAAAACUGCUCUUGCUAACCUAAACCGGUCACUGUCAGCUCGGGCCGGUUCUAAUGGCCCAACAUUUACUACUAGGCAGCAGCAGAUCGGGUUUUGUCCGAG